AAUGAACGCUGGCGGCAUGCCUUACACAUGCCAGUCGAACGGCAGCAUGACCUAGUUUGCUAGGUUGAUGGCGAGUGGCGCACGGGUGUGUAAUGCAUCGGACCUUGCCUUUUAGUGGGGGAUAACGUAGCGAAAGUUACGCUAAUACCGCAUAUUCUCUGAGGAGGAAAGCAGGGGACCUUCGGGCCUUGCGCUAGAAGAGCGGCCGAUGUCGGAUUAGCUAGUUGGUGAGGUAAAGGCUCACCAAGGCAACGAUCCGUAGCGGGUCUGAGAGGAUGAUCCGCCACACUGGGACUGAGACACGGCCCAGACUCCUACGGGAGGCAGCAGUAGGGAAUUUUGGGCAAUGGGCGCAAGCCUGAUCCAGCCAUGCCGCGUGAGUGAAGAAGGCCUUCGGGUUGUAAAGCUCUUUCGGCUGGGAAGAAAUCGCACCCUCUAAUACAGGGUGUGGAUGACGGUACCAGCAUAAGAAGCACCGGCUAACUACGUG
This 490-nucleotide ribosomal RNA is filed under the name uncultured bacterium. Its description in RNAcentral is "partial 16S ribosomal RNA". It matches the Rfam family "Bacterial small subunit ribosomal RNA", at positions 29 to 507 of the family's 1533-position model. The record is from RNAcentral.